CAGAGUUGCAAGACUCCCUAAACCAUUGUGAACCUACCUUCUACCGUUGCUUCGGCGGGCGGGCCCAGCGCCCCCCCCCGGCCCCCCGCGGGCGCCCGCCGGAGGAUACCCAAACUCUUGACAUUAGUGGCCUCCCUGAGUAUUCUUUACUGAAUAAGUCA
This 161-nucleotide unclassified non-coding RNA is filed under the name soil metagenome. RNAcentral describes it as "partial internal transcribed spacer 1". The record is from RNAcentral.